Long non-coding RNA from Gymnodraco acuticeps, 679 nucleotides. RefSeq lists it as uncharacterized. The record is from RefSeq and is a predicted model, not a curated record. The transcript is spliced from 2 exons. Lineage: Eukaryota; Metazoa; Chordata; Actinopteri; Perciformes; Bathydraconidae.
GUGGCUCCUGUGGCAAACAUGUACAGUUUUUGGCAGAAGUUGAACACAACAGCAUUCCAUAAGGAGGGUCAGGAACUCACGCUUGGGACCACCAUUGUCCCCUCCAUCCUCAGUGUGUCCCUCAUCAUCAGUGAACUUAACUGACAUCUCAUGAGAGGGAUCGAAUGAGGCACCUUUGAAGCCGCAGAUUGCUCCAUCGCACACACUGGCUCUAUUAAUAUUGGACCUGCUGCAAGAUGUAUUUGUUAUUUUUGCAGAGAGUUCUGCAACAAUGUGUGCCGCAGUCAGGUAUUCUGUGCUGGGAAAGACAAAGUGAUGUAUUGUAAUAUUAAAUGAUGAAGCUAGUAAUAAGAUUUACAGAAUAGAAUAGAAAAAUUAAGUGGUAAUAGUAACAAUUAAUACCUUUGCUCCAUUGUGUCUUCUGGCUCAGACUGGCUAUCAAUAAUGAUAAGUGCAUACACAGUUGUGUAGUUGCUGCAGUGAGAAGACCGUUGAAUAAUUACUUUCAAAUACCUAAUAUAUGCAUGACAGUCAUAUUUACAAAAGGAUGUCGAUCCUCUUCCUGUUUUUUCAAUACAUUGGGUUCUAAACUGACAACAGCACUUUUGUCAUACUCCUGCACAAUCCUUGUAAACAUUUGAAAUGGAUGCAACAAAAAAUAUCUGAUCUUUGAAAAAUA